Oncorhynchus keta (chum salmon) is the source of this 496-nucleotide long non-coding RNA. RefSeq lists it as uncharacterized. The record is from RefSeq and is a predicted model, not a curated record. Lineage: Eukaryota; Metazoa; Chordata; Actinopteri; Salmoniformes; Salmonidae. The transcript is spliced from 3 exons.
AGCAGAAGGUCAUACACAGGAGGAGGCAGGUAGCUGGGUCCAGGGGCAGGCAGAAGGUCAUACACAGGAGGAGGCAGGUAGCUGGGUCCAGGGGCAGGCAGAAGGUCAUACACAGGAGGAGGCAGGUAGCUGGGUCCAGGGGCAGGCAGAAGGUCAUACACAGGAGGAGGCAGGUAGCAGGGUCCAGGGGCAGGCAGAAGGUCAUACACAGGAGGAGGCAGGUAGCAGGGUCCAGGGGCAGGCAGAAGGUCAUACACAGGAGGAGGCAGGUAGCAGGGUCCAGGGGCAGGCAGAAGGUCAUACACAGGAGGAGGCAGGUAGCAGGGUCCAGGGGCAGGCAGAAGGUCAUACACAGGAGGAGGCAGGUAGCAGGGUCCAGGGGCAGGCAGAAGGUCAUACACAGGAGGAGGCAGGUAGCAGGGUCCAGGGGCAGGCAGAAGGUCAUACACAGGAGGAGGCAGAAGGUCAUACACAGGAGGUCCAAAAGGACAACAGU